RNAcentral lists this long non-coding RNA (1542 nucleotides) under Brassica rapa (field mustard). Its description in RNAcentral is "long non-coding RNA (BRAP_LNC007583)". Lineage: Eukaryota; Viridiplantae; Streptophyta; Magnoliopsida; Brassicales; Brassicaceae. The record is from RNAcentral.
AUGUAAAGAAAAGUUAACGAAUUGUUGGUAACAAAUAUUUAUUGUUAAUGGUUGUAAAUUGUAAAAAGUAACAAGGAAUUCACUAUUGUCAUUAUUCCCUUGGCCAGCAUAUAGUUUUGGUGAAAAUAUUACCCAUUUUAAAGCUUUUACAGUCAAUAGCCAGCAAAAUUUUAUUAACUUUACGACUUUAUAUUUUGUCAAAAAAAAAAAAAACUUUACGACUUUAUAAAUCUUUUUGCUCGCUACAUUAAAAUUUUAUCCAAAAUUAUGACUUUAGUUCUUUCUAUGGUUACCAAUUUGAGGCUUUAGUUAAUGUUACAAAAAAAAUUAUGGCUUUAGUUUUGUUUUUCUAAAGCAACAAUUAAUAUUGUAAAGUGAAAGACUCAAAAGUUUAACAACAACAUUUUUAUAGCUACUAGGGUCGGUCCGCCCUACGGGCGGGAUAUACUUUAUUUGUGAUUUCGAUUUUUAUUCCUUUGUAUGAUUUUGUAGUUUGUGUUUUAGAUUUGCAUUUGCAUUUGUAAGUGAUGCGUAUAAUAAUGAUAUUUUUAUAUUAGAAAAUUUUAAGUGAUGAGAGAUAUUACAUUUAUUUUAGUUAAAGUUGGAUGUUGUUUAUUUUUCUAAUUUGUUUAUGUUUUUUUAUUUGUUUUCAAAUACAUUUUCUGACAUUGUACUAUUUUAUUUUAUUUUUUUGUUAUGUUUUUUUUUAUAAUGAACACACAUUUUUAUAUCAUAUGUCUAACUAAACUCUUUUGUUUUUUAUUAGUGUUAUUAGAGAUUAUAAGUUUGUAUUAGCAUGACAUGAUAUUUAUGAUUGAAAUGGUAUUAUACGUUUUCUUAAAUGUUUUCUCAACUUUUUUUAUAUAUAGUAAGUAGAUUUCAGUUUUUAUUGUUGUGGUUAGGUUCAAUACUCAAAAUAUUGAUUAUUUUAUAUAGUUUUUAAACAUUGUAUGUGGGUUUUGUAUUUUUUAUUCUUAUUAAAACAUUUGUAUAUUUAUGUAUUAACAUAUUAACAUGAUUAUUUAUUUUAAAAUUAAAAAUAAACCAAUCUACAUCUUUUUGCUAAUAAUAUAUAAAUAGUUAAUUUUUUAUUUAUUGGUUCAGUAAUUUCACAUUUAUUAGAAUAACUUACUUAUAACUAAUAUUUAAAAGAAAUAAUUGGAUCGACAACAAAUCAAAUUUAGAAUCUAGCUAUUACUUUGUAUGUUAUAACUAUAUAAAUUUUAUGCAUUUUACUAUUUUUAAAAAUAUUUUAUUCUGCUAAUAUGAAAUCUAAUUAAAGAUUGAGAGUAAGUGUCGUAUCCAUAAUGUUUACUCAUGGCCGUAACCAAAAAGAAAAACAUUAAGCCCAUAAUUAUUGGACAAAUACAUAACAAACGAAAAUCCAAUAUGAUUUCCAAUUAAAUGAAUCGUAGCGUUCAGCACAAGGGGACACAUGUCAGUCCUUCAGAAAACAAAUUUCCAGCUGAAUAGCUUGGUAGUGAGGCAAACAUAUUUAUAUAUAUAUAUAUAGAUGCCCUUUAAAAAAAAAACAUUUUUAAA